RNAcentral lists this ribosomal RNA (497 nucleotides) under uncultured bacterium. RNAcentral describes it as "partial 16S ribosomal RNA". It matches the Rfam family "Bacterial small subunit ribosomal RNA", at positions 28 to 507 of the family's 1533-position model. The record is from RNAcentral.
GAUGAACGCUGGCGGCGUGCCUAAUACAUGCAAGUCGAGCGAACGGACGUGAAGCUUGUUUCUCUGAUGUUAGCGGCGGACGGGUGAGUAACACGUGGAUAACCUACCUAUAAGACUGGGAUAACUUCGGGAAACCGGAGCUAAUACCGGAUAAUAUUUUGAACCGCAUGGUUCAAAAGUGAAAGACGGUCUUGCUGUCACUUAUAGAUGGAUCCGCGCUGCAUUAGCUAGUUGGUAAGGUAACGACUUACCAAGGCAACGAUGCAUAGCCGACCUAAGAGGGUGAUCGGCCACUCUGGAACGGAGACACGGACCAGACACCUAGGGGAGGCAGCAGGAGGGAAACUACCACAAUGAGCAAAAGCCUGACGGAGCAACGACGCGUCGGAGAUGAAGGUCUUCGAAUCGUAAAACUCUGUUAUUGGGGAAGAACAUAUGUGUAAGUGACUGUGCACAUCGUGACGGUACCUAAUCAGAAAGCCACGGCUAACUACGUG